GAUGAACGCUGGCGGCGUGCCUAAUACAUGCAAGUCGAGCGAACAGACGAGGAGCUUGCUCCUCUGACGUUAGCGGCGGACGGGUGAGUAACACGUGGAUAACCUACCUAUAAGACUGGGAUAACUUCGGGAAACCGGAGCUAAUACCGGAUAAUAUAUUGAACCGCAUGGUUCAAUAGUGAAAGACGGUUUUGCUGUCACUUAUAGAUGGAUCCGCGCCGCAUUAGCUAGUUGGUAAGGUAACGGCUUACCAAGGCAACGAUGCGUAGCCGACCUGAGAGGGUGAUCGGCCACACUGGAACUGAGACACGGUCCAGACUCCUACGGGAGGCAGCAGUAGGGAAUCUUCCGCAAUGGGCGAAAGCUUGACGGGGCAACGCCGCGUGAGUGAUGAAGGUCUUCGGAUCGUAAAACUCUGUUAUUAGGGAAGAACAAAUGUGUAAGUAGCUAUGCACGUCUUGACGGUACCUAAUCAGAAAGCCACGGCUAACUACGUG
This 497-nucleotide ribosomal RNA is filed under the name uncultured bacterium. RNAcentral's name for it is "partial 16S ribosomal RNA". It matches the Rfam family "Bacterial small subunit ribosomal RNA", at positions 28 to 507 of the family's 1533-position model. The record is from RNAcentral.